AUUGAACGCUGGCGGCAUGCCUUACACAUGCAAGUCGAACGGUGAAAGAGGAGCUUGCUCCUCUGGAUCAGUGGCGAACGGGUGAGUAACACGUGAGUAACCUGCCCCAGACUCUGGGAUAAGCACUGGAAACGGUGUCUAAUACCGGAUACGAGCUUCAGCCGCAUGGCUAGGAGCUGGAAAGAAUUUCGGUCUGGGAUGGACUCGCGGCCUAUCAGCUAGUUGGUGAGGUAAUGGCUCACCAAGGCGACGACGGGUAGCCGGCCUGAGAGGGUGACCGGCCACACUGGGACUGAGACACGGCCCAGACUCCUACGGGAGGCAGCAGUGGGGGAAUAUUGCACAAUGGGCGCAAGCCUGAUGCAGCAACGCCGCGUGAGGGACGAC
RNAcentral lists this ribosomal RNA (387 nucleotides) under uncultured bacterium. RNAcentral describes it as "bacterial SSU rRNA". It matches the Rfam family "Bacterial small subunit ribosomal RNA", at positions 30 to 412 of the family's 1533-position model. The record is from RNAcentral.